RNAcentral lists this ribosomal RNA (643 nucleotides) under uncultured archaeon. RNAcentral's name for it is "bacterial SSU rRNA". It matches the Rfam family "Archaeal small subunit ribosomal RNA", at positions 170 to 811 of the family's 1478-position model. The record is from RNAcentral.
CUGGAAGGUCCUCAGGCCGAAAGGGGCUCUGCCCGCCCGAGGAUGGGCCGGCGGCCGAUUAGGUAGUUGGUGGGGUAACGGCCCACCAAGCCGAAGAUCGGUACGGGCCAUGAGAGUGGGAGCCCGGAGAUGGACACUGAGACACGGGUCCAGGCCCUACGGGGCGCAGCAGGCGCGAAACCUCCGCAAUGCGGGCAACCGCGACGGGGGGACCCCCAGUGCCGUGGCAACGCCACGGCUUUUCCGGAGUGUAAAAAGCUCCGGGAAUAAGGGCUGGGCAAGGCCGGUGGCAGCCGCCGCGGUAAUACCGGCGGCCCGAGUGGUGGCCGCUAUUAUUGGGCCUAAAGCGUCCGUAGCCGGGCCCGUAAGUCCCUGGCGAAAUCCCACGGCUCAACCGUGGGGCUUGCUGGGGAUACUGCGGGCCUUGGGACCGGGAGAGGCCGGGGGUACCCCUGGGGUAGGGGUGAAAUCCUAUAAUCCCAGGGGGACCGCCAGUGGCGAAGGCGCCCGGCUGGAACGGGUCCGACGGUGAGGGACGAAGGCCAGGGGAGCGAACCGGAUUAGAUACCCGGGUAGUCCUGGCUGUAAAGGAUGCGGGCUAGGUGUCGGGCGAGCUUCGAGCUCGCCCGGUGCCGAAGGGAAG